RNAcentral lists this ribosomal RNA (115 nucleotides) under Paracoccaceae bacterium. Lineage: Bacteria; Pseudomonadati; Pseudomonadota; Alphaproteobacteria; Rhodobacterales; Paracoccaceae. RNAcentral also lists the same sequence under 1 other name. The record is from RNAcentral.
UUUGGUGGUCAUAGCACGAGCAAAACACCCGGCUCCAUUCCGAACCCGGCCGUUAAGUGCCGUAGCGCCGAUGGUACUGCGUCUUAAGACGUGGGAGAGUAGGUCACCGCCAAAC